Long non-coding RNA from Hyaena hyaena (striped hyena), 940 nucleotides. RefSeq lists it as uncharacterized. Lineage: Eukaryota; Metazoa; Chordata; Mammalia; Carnivora; Hyaenidae. The record is from RefSeq and is a predicted model, not a curated record. The transcript is spliced from 4 exons.
ACCGUCAGCGGGGAGACUGCCUGCUCAAGGCCGAGGCAUUCUGCUCUCCUUGGAAGUGUUUCUGGUCCUCGCCGUGGGCAGGGCCUGUGGUCCAUGGGGGUUGACAUUCCCUCUGCCAUUCGGUUAAGGGGCAGGGAAGGGUAGUGCCCCAGCUGGGCAGGACGCUGUAGUUGCGGAUGUGUAUGCAGGCGGCCUUUACACACUAGCUGGAGGACAUGGGGCCCUCCCACCACCCCCUGCUGCUGCCAGUCAGCGGGGCUCGCUCCCCAGAACCUGGCCUCAACAGCCUUUCCACAUAGAUCAUUUGGCAGUAAAUUGGUCGCAGGCAUGAAGAAUAACCCUGGUGUUCUUCUGUCACACGUGAUCCCCAGCCCUUCCAAGAGUUAAGUUGUUCUUGUUCCUGAGACAGCGGCGGGGCUGUUCAGGCAGGUGUGUGUGCGCAGAGGCUCCAUGAGAGGUGUCGUCUCAGCAGCCAGGCGAGCGGCCACGGGGCCCCAAGGUCAGCCUUAGGCCCGGAGGCUGUUGAAGGAAGUCCCAAGGCUGCGAGUUGUUGACUGUCGGGAUGACUUGGGAUCUGGGUUUGCUGACAUUUUCCCCCCAAGGUUCUCCUGGUGGCGUUAGCGGUCUCCAGAGGGGCACAGUGUGGAGGGAUCCCCGUCGAAGCAUCCCCAGAGGACCCCCUACUAUACCCUCCGAGUGCCGUGAUCAGCUCUUCCCUCCGCACAGGACCUCAGAGGGAAGGUGCUGGGGCCGCGGCCGGGUCCGCUCCGCCUGGCCUGUCUUGCCAGCCGUGCCCUGCGAAGCCGUAGACCGGGAACGUCAGCCCCAUGUCCCUCCGCUGUGCCGGGAAUGACUGUAAUGACCCAUAUUUUUCUCCUGAACUACAGCUGCUCCUGUCUUUCCCCCUCUGCCUGCCUGUUCAGUAAACUCACAGACUCGC